AGGCGCGGUAGUCCCCGCGGGACCCCGCGCCGCCUGUACAGAGACCCUCCCACAAAUGCACUGCUGUUAACUUUUCUACGUGGACGUUUCUAGAACCUAAGCACAGCGCCGUCAGUCCUGGGGUGACACUCGCUUUCCGCUCGAAGCCCGCGGAGUCGGGGAGUUUCAUCCACAGCCUUGCUGGGGGUGAUCUUUCGUUUUCCGAGCUUGAGGUUAGACCACUGGAAGAGAAUUCGAGUUUGUACAUCUUUUCCCACAGUUCGGAUUUGCAAUGUAAAGGCCUCAGAUCCCUCUCUAGAGCCCCAGGAUCUUGUCUUAUUUAUGGAGAAAACACGGUCAUUUUGUCCAGCGCACUGUGAGGCCCCCACUCAGGGCCGGCCCUGGCCCUCCCUUGGUACUGGGAACCGAAGUUACAGAUAUAUAUUAAAAUAAUAAUAAUAAUGUACAAAACUUUUUUUGCCUUAUUAUGCAGAAGCGUAAGAGGAUUUUUUUCGGUUUUUAAAAAAAAAUGAAAUAUGUAAAUAGUCUGUUAAUAUAAAUAUAUGGCGUUAUUAAAUUCUUAACCUGGGUAGACUUUAUAAAAAGUUUCUAGAAACCUCUCUGGUGAUUUGUUUAACACGGUCACAAAAAGAAACCCUCGCUGUCAGUUGGAAACGCGCGCAAGUUUAACUGCAGCACCGACCCUUCAACUAUGCAAGCGCUCUGAGGUGGGGCUGGGCCGCCGUCCGGGGAACGAGGCUCGGAGCGGCCACGCCGGCCUCCCCGGUCCCCAGCCCUGGGGCCCUGCCCUCCCUGGGACUGGCCGGCUCUGGCCGCAGGACACUUCUGUGGAUCCUGGUUUCGUUUGCGCAGCGUUUUCGGAAUCUGUACCUGACAAGCAGACUUUCAGGAGUGAAGAGUAAAGGUUCAUCACAAAACGAAACGGUAACUGGUGUUUUCUCUCCUGUGCGAAGGCCGUCAGCAAACGUUUCUCAGCGUGGCCCUGCCCCGACCGAGGCCUUGGCAUGAUUUCCUUUUGCUUUCGGGUUUGCUCUCAUAACCUCUCGAACGCCGCCUCGCCCUGCCCUCAGCGCCCUUUUCUGUUCCCCGGCGGCCACACGUGUGUCCGCCGCACUUUUGAGCCUUGUCGGUUCGACGUCCGCAGCCGUUUGCUCCGUUCUGUACUUUCAACCCGUUUCCACUGUGGACUGUGGUUGCUUUAAACAUUCAGUUCUCGUGUCAAUCAAUGAAGAUAAAUACAGUCUUGAUUUCGAUCA
Long non-coding RNA from Panthera uncia (snow leopard), 1256 nucleotides. RefSeq lists it as uncharacterized. The record is from RefSeq and is a predicted model, not a curated record. Lineage: Eukaryota; Metazoa; Chordata; Mammalia; Carnivora; Felidae. The transcript is spliced from 2 exons.